UGCCUAGUUUGGGUACUUGGUACUUGGCUAAUGAAUUCCAUUGUUUGAUUGUGGCUGGUAGAAACAGGUGCUAGGUGCUGCAUAGUGUGGAGGAUUUGCAGGAUUGACUUUCCCCUCUUGGUGAGUCUUUGGUCCUCCAUAGCAAAAGGAAAGGUGAGAGAGAAAUCUUGGCUACUACCUAGCUGUACCUCGAGCGGGCCUGGAUUCGUUGUCUGGGCUGACGGGCUGCUCGAAACGGGCCCUAAUUUGGGCCUGGAGAAAAGGCCCGAAGUGCACCCAAAAUUUUAUAUUUUCCUUUCCUUGUUUUCUUUCUUUGAGGACUUUGAUCCAUGUAACCUAUUUUAUUAGUUGUUCAUUUUAUUGAACA
Long non-coding RNA from Salvia hispanica, 367 nucleotides. RefSeq lists it as uncharacterized. The record is from RefSeq and is a predicted model, not a curated record. Lineage: Eukaryota; Viridiplantae; Streptophyta; Magnoliopsida; Lamiales; Lamiaceae.